GCGUCUCCUUCACUCAAGUCCUAUGUCUUUCACUAGCACCGCUCUCCAAAUCACCAUGGUUACUCUACAAGGAGACUCAAGGGAACUGGUCUUCACAUCCAGUAACUAUGGAGACAAGGGGAUGGUUGGCAAAUGAGAGUCCAGCAAGAAGUCGACCGGCGGUCACUUGACUACAUCCCAUUGCAACCUUGCUAUUAAAGAGCUUUUCCACAUGGUGGACAACACUACUAAAGUCACAAAUACCAUUGAUGCCAGUAUGAACAGCAGGCUUUUGAAGAUAAGCAGACACCCUAAUAUUUUGAGGCAGUGUAUAAGUGACAUCGUGAGGACUGUCAUUUUUUUUUUUUUAUAUGGCAAAACAAAAAAGUUUUGAAAAUGUUGGUCUGACCCUCUCAAAAUCUUCCAUUUGGUGUAAAAACACUGUUUUCGAAAUUAUUUUGAUAUUUAGGGGUCACUCAAGGACCUGUAAACUGG
Pseudophryne corroboree (corroboree frog) is the source of this 474-nucleotide long non-coding RNA. RefSeq lists it as uncharacterized. The transcript is spliced from 3 exons. The record is from RefSeq and is a predicted model, not a curated record. NCBI's taxonomy places the organism in Eukaryota, Metazoa, Chordata, Amphibia, Anura, Myobatrachidae.